GACGAACGCUGGCGGCGUGCUUAACACAUGCAAGUCGAACGGAAAGGCCCUGCUUUUGUGGGGUCCUCUAGUGGCGAACGGGUGAGUAACACGUGAGUAACCUGUCCCUGACUGUGGUAUAACUUCAGGAAACUUGGGCUCAUACCGGAUAGGAGCUCCUGCUUCAUGGUGGGGGUUGGAAAGUUUCGGCGGUUGGGGAUGGACUCGCGUCCUAUCAGCUUGUUGGUUGGGUAGUGGCUUACCAAGGCUUUGACGGGUAGCCGAGCUGCGCGGAUAACCGGACAAAGUGGAACUGAAAUGAGGCACAGCCGACAAUGGUACGGAGCAGUGGAGAAUAUAGCAUAAUGGAAGGAAGGAUGAUGCAGCAACGCAGCGUGCGGGAUGACAGCAUUGGGGUUGUGAACCACUUUCGCCUGAGACGAAACGUGAGUGACGGUAAUGGGUAAAGAAGCACCGGCUAACUACGUG
RNAcentral lists this ribosomal RNA (468 nucleotides) under uncultured bacterium. RNAcentral's name for it is "partial 16S ribosomal RNA". It matches the Rfam family "Bacterial small subunit ribosomal RNA", at positions 28 to 507 of the family's 1533-position model. The record is from RNAcentral.